UUCAUCUUGAUGAUAAUUUUAAUCUGACAACUAUGCUGAGUAAACAAACGAAUUAAACCAAAAGGAUACUGAUAAAAU
Drosophila mojavensis is the source of this 78-nucleotide non-coding RNA. NCBI's taxonomy places the organism in Eukaryota, Metazoa, Arthropoda, Insecta, Diptera, Drosophilidae. The record is from Rfam.